GCGGUCAUGGCGGAAUUGGUAGACGCGCUACCUUGAGGUGGUAGUGGGGAGACCCGUGGAGGUUCGAGUCCUCUUGACCGCACCA
This 85-nucleotide transfer RNA is filed under the name Azorhizobium oxalatiphilum. RNAcentral describes it as "tRNA-Leu". It matches the Rfam family "tRNA". From Rfam's summary of the family: Transfer RNA (tRNA) molecules are approximately 80 nucleotides in length. RNAcentral also lists the same sequence under 1 other name. The record is from RNAcentral. Lineage: Bacteria; Pseudomonadati; Pseudomonadota; Alphaproteobacteria; Hyphomicrobiales; Xanthobacteraceae.